AUAAUGCCAUUACACUGUAGAGAAGGUAGCAGAUUGAGUGCAAGGUGUGACAAACUUGAUGGAUGGGGCUCACUUUCCAGACGUUAUUCUGGAGCAUAUGGUAGGAAGCUGGAGUGCAGGGACAGCUGGCAGGAGCAGUUGGCCAAUCAGCAGCUAGUGAACGGGAAGGGAGCACGUGACUCCAUCAUCUAGCCUUUCCACGAGAGUCCCCACCCUACGUGCAACACAAGAAAAAGACAAUUCACAUUCUGAAGAAUUCAGAUUCUGAAACUCUCCCACCUCCCCACUCCCACCUACCCCCGAUAUAAAUCACUGGACUGUUUGUACGUGAAACAGAAGAGGCUAAGCUUCCUUUUUUUACACUUAUGAGACAAAAAGUGCAGUGUUUGGUUCGUAUGUUUAGCACAUGAUUUUCAUAAAGAAUCUAUAUAUUUUUGCCCUACAGAGAAUUGUUAUACAGGUCAAGUGUGUUUUCCUGAUGUUCCUAUGCAGUUACAGUAUGUUGAAAGUGUUUUAACACUAAGAAGAAAACUUUAAAGAUUCAUGUGAUUAAUUGGAUUUGAGGAUAAUUAUUAUUAUUUGGUUUUUAGAUUUGAAAAGUAGAAUUUCCAUUGAGACAAUUGAUUUGAAUAGGCCUGCAUUUGAUUCUUCAUAUCAAUAGAAACUAAAAUGAUUUGGGAGAUUCAUUUGAAAAAUGAUUGUAUACUUGUUCACAAAGCGAAAAGUGAUACAUGAAGGUAAUGGUUAUCAUUUAAAGCCCACAUUUUACACUAUCAGGUCACAGGAGUCUAAUUUUUUUUUCAGUUAGAUAAACUGACCAAACGUCUAUUCAAGAAUAUAUGUCAAUAUCAUCCUAAUGUGGAAGGUCCGAAGAACCAGAAAAGUGAGAAGGGCCGUUUACCUCCCUCUGUAGCUAUCACCUGUUGGUCCACAGAGUUUCUUGAGAAAUGAGCAAACAUUUUAUGAUUAGGUAACCCUUUCACAUGAACGGGAAGAUGGGAAAGGUGGAAUGACCAUAAGAGUUGGCCUGAGACCAGUUUGUUUUCUGGGGAUUUGGUAAGAUAGGCAGUUCCCAUGGGAAAUUGCUUAAAUUGCUUUGUUGCCUAUGAUUUGAUUCUAAACAAGUGGUGCUAUCUUCUCCCUCAAUAUGGCUGUCUUGAGUUUGUCUUGCAGUAUCACACCAUUAUACCAAUUCUUUGGGUUGCUUCUGACACAUUCAAAGUGAACUCUGGCUGAUGUUGCUGUUUCAGGUAUACCAUCUGGAGUUAAUUUCCUAGCAGAAGGUGAAAGUCCAGGAGAAUUGUCCUCUUUCAUUGAACAUGAUUGAAAAUGUAACUGGCUCUGAACUUCAAGAAGAUAGAUGCCCAAGUGAUGCAUUAAAGUAAGGGAAAUAAAGUCAAGUUUUUCAACUGCCAUCCAUAUUCUCAUUGGCAGAAUUCUGAUUUUUUUCCAAGCACUGUUUGGUGAGCCUGGAAGCACCGUAUCCUGUCCCAGGAGUACAGUGAAAUUUCCAAGCAAGAGCUGAGGUGCCAAUACCAAAAGACCAUGGGGAGUCUGCACGGUUCUGGUUAGAUCAAUAGAAAAUCCAUGUGUACAACUGUUAAUUCCUCAUCCUCCACUAGCACUAAAUUUGUCACUUUAAAUUUUGAAACCAGGGAAACACCACCUGUCAUUCUGUCCCCAUUCUCCAUAGCUCUUCAAUCUUUACAUGCCGCAAGACUUUUUUGAUAGCUCGUACUCAUCCCAGUGUCUCCUGAAACCCCAUCAUGUAAUGUACUGGGCACCUUCUUUUAAACAAAUGUUUACUCUGUGGGUUUGGUUCAUUUCAAUUUCUGCGUUCUGACACAUAUUUUUUUAAUAAAGAUGAGAAAGAGAAAAUGACUGUUGCAGUACCUUUCUAGACCUACUUUAACUUUACCUCAGAUGACAGUUUGUUAACAUAUAUGGACACAUUAUUUUUAACUUUAUGUACAAUGCAUUCAACAGAACAGCAAAAUUUUUAGAAAUUUUCCAUUAAUUUCUGUAACACACCAUGUAAAACUGUUACAAAUAAACAUGUUUGAGAACAAC
This 2070-nucleotide long non-coding RNA is filed under the name Homo sapiens (human). Its description in RNAcentral is "non-protein coding lnc-C8B-4:1". Lineage: Eukaryota; Metazoa; Chordata; Mammalia; Primates; Hominidae. The record is from RNAcentral.